CAAAUGGGUGCAAUGACGAUGGUAAGAAGAGUGUCUACUGUUAUAUGUCCCAGAACUGAUUAUUAUGACAUUGUUCAGGAAGUCUGUAUCAAAUGGCAGCUGUAUUAUUGAACAGUAACAGUUUAGAUUUUGGAAUGACAACUCUCUAUAAGCCCUUCAAUACAGGUGAUCAAUUUAUCUGGAUUUUUUUUUGGAACCUGUAUCUACCUGUCAAAGAUAUUUUCAUGAACUAGGUAGGUUCUUUUAUUGUUGCAAUCCUAUUCAUCGUUACUCUGUCGACGGUGGUGUGCUGUUGGAAGACGGGUAUAAUUUUAGAGGCAAGCAGCAGCCAGUGAGCACAAGGGAGAAAGGACGCCGCCGCAUCAAAGGAGUAAAGAAGGAGAGAAAUCAGCUUUAAAUUUCAAUCAAAGUGAUAGAAAAUGCAGCUGAUUUUAAUCAUCAAUGGUUUAAUUAAUAUUUUACAUCGUCAGGUAAACUAACUCUAUGCCAUUCUAAACUAUAGGCCAGUGGGCUGAUCACAGGCCUCCUCAUCAUUUCAUGUGGCCCAGCAGAGAUUGACAUGUCAAAGGUUUUAUUUUUAAUAAAAUAUAUUUUAGUCUGUACUAAUAUGGAUUGGAUGUUUUAAAUACAGUGGUCAAAUUCUGAGUGGGUAUAACAGUAUGCAUGGUGGGUAAUUAACAAUUCUUGUGAGUUCUGUCCGUCUCCCUUUCCUCCUGUAGGUGGAGUUGAUUAGUGUGAUCACUCUCACCUGUGUCACCUGGUGCCCUGGGUAUAUACCUAUAUAUAUAUAUUUACACACCCCUCCCUCUCACUCUGUCAUUGUGUGUUCAUUGUCAGUAGUCGAUGUGGCUGUGGUUGUCUAUGUGCUGCUGUUCAUUCCUUAGUGCCUUGUUUGUGGUUCCAAGUUCCUGAUUUAUGCUCCGAUUUCCAGUGGCGACACCUUCUGGCAGGGCACGAUUACCGUUGGCAUUUUGAGUGCUUUGAAUGGCUGAUCAAAGGACACGAAACAUUUUUCAUUCGGAAAAAUCCCACGGCACACCACCAAACGUCGACUUCAUGGAUGGUUGGGAGGACGAUGGACACCAGACUGUCACUCUGAAAUACACAACAACAGAAUUUUCCACAUGCAUCAAAGUUGGGAUACGGACCUGCAGCAGCAGCACAGGAGAUUCGAAAAAGACACUCGCUCUGCAGGGAGACAUUUGACAGCACACACGUUUGUGUGUGAAUGUGUGUACCUUGAUGACCACACCCAUGA
Molecule: long non-coding RNA, 1258 nt
Organism: Cynoglossus semilaevis (tongue sole)
Lineage: Eukaryota; Metazoa; Chordata; Actinopteri; Pleuronectiformes; Cynoglossidae
Exons: 5
Source: RefSeq, a predicted model, not a curated record